UAUAUAUCUGGAAUUUAGCUGUAAUUCUGUAUUUUGCCAGUACGGGCAAAAUUAUAGUAACCAGUAAUAAGCCAGCACUGGUAGAUAUUCAAAAUUUAGGGUUCUUUUUGCUUUUUACAAAAAUACACAAUUUUCACGUCUAUGAAGUUGGCGUCGACGCUCAACGUCGAAAAUUAUUUUUCACGGUACCAAAAAUAACAAAUUAUUUUUAAAAAAACUUUUGGGUUCACAUAAUACCUUAAAAAGUAUUUCUUAAGGCAUUACAUAUUUGGAGCAAAAAUCUUUAAAAAAAAAAAAAAAAAAAAAAUUUUUCCAUACAUUAUUCUAGAUUAUGCCAAGAGUCAAAAACAUUAGUACAAAAGUAGGAAAAUUGUAUAAUUUUUCUGGAAAUCUUUUCGGUGUUAUAGAGUAAGUCCUGGGGAGUUGACCAUAGUUUUUUUAAAGGGAUUAAAGUCUUCUUUUCUUCUUCUGACCACAUUUCGAACAUUUAUCAUUAAAUGCAGUGCAAUUUUCAUGAAUCCCAAGGUGAUAAUCAUUCCACUGAAUCCAGUCUUCGAUUAGCGCUGUCUGUCUGUCUCACCAACACAACAUGGCAACAUGUAAUUUGUAAAUUUAGCUAGAAUCAUCCGACACGAGAAAAACUGUUCAGUAACUUGACGAAUUCUAGUGGUGCCAUGACAAAUUUCUACUAGGAGUACCGACAAUUUCCGAUGAUAGUGUAUAACUAUUCAGUCGGAUUCUUAUUUUAA
Molecule: long non-coding RNA, 749 nt
Organism: Leptopilina boulardi
Lineage: Eukaryota; Metazoa; Arthropoda; Insecta; Hymenoptera; Figitidae
Exons: 3
Source: RefSeq, a predicted model, not a curated record